Long non-coding RNA from Triticum dicoccoides, 399 nucleotides. RefSeq lists it as uncharacterized. The transcript has 3 exons. Lineage: Eukaryota; Viridiplantae; Streptophyta; Magnoliopsida; Poales; Poaceae. The record is from RefSeq and is a predicted model, not a curated record.
UGCUCAGAACUGUAAGAAACAGUUUAUGAUUUGAUAUUUAGAAUCAUUCAUUGCAAGUGUUUCAGGUCUUACCAAUGAAGAUAUUCUCUUUUGGUUGGAUUGCUUGGACUUGGUGAGUCAGGAUCCACCAUCACCUAUUGCCAGUAGUCCUCCUCGAGUCUUGCUUAUGGAUCAAACACUAGAAACAAACUGGAUGCCUCUCUCCUCAAAGCUGUUGAAAGAGCUAAAGUCAUGUGUUGGCAGCGCAGCACUUUUAAGAUCUCUUCUGAUUUACCAACGUAGAUUGUGGACAAAGGUUUCAGCUUCACAAGUUCGAACUGUUUACAACAACAACAACAACAAAGCCUUUAGUCCCAAGCAAGUUGGGGUAGGCUAGAGGUGAAACCCAUAAGAUCUCGC